RNAcentral lists this transfer RNA (62 nucleotides) under Cavia porcellus (domestic guinea pig). It matches the Rfam family "tRNA". Rfam says of the family: Transfer RNA (tRNA) molecules are approximately 80 nucleotides in length. Their secondary structure includes four short double-helical elements and three loops (D, anti-codon, and T loops). Lineage: Eukaryota; Metazoa; Chordata; Mammalia; Rodentia; Caviidae. The record is from Rfam by way of RNAcentral.
GGGGAUUUAGCUCAGUGGCAUAAGUGCCUGCCUUGCAAGCAGGCGCUUGAGUUCGAUCCCCA